This 459-nucleotide ribosomal RNA is filed under the name Spilogona dispar. RNAcentral describes it as "partial 16S ribosomal RNA". The stretch from base 344 to 459 matches the Rfam family "Bacterial large subunit ribosomal RNA", at positions 2473 to 2588 of the family's 2925-position model. Lineage: Eukaryota; Metazoa; Arthropoda; Insecta; Diptera; Muscidae. The record is from RNAcentral.
UUUUAAUGGCCGCAGUAUAUUAACUGUGCAAAGGUAGCAUAAUCAUUAGUCUUUUAAUUGAAGGCUUGUAUGAAUGGUUGGACGAGAUACUAACUGUUUCAUAAAAAUUUAUAAUAGAAAUUUAUUUUUUAGUUAAAAAGCUAAAAUUUAUUUAAAAGACGAGAAGACCCUAUAAAUCUUUAUAUUUAUGUUAUUAUAAUUUUUUAGAUUUUAUUUUAUUAUAAUAUUUAAUAAUAUUUUAUUGGGGUGAUAUUAAAAUUUAUUUAACUUUUAAUUAUUUAAAUUCAUUGAUGUAUGAAUUAUUGAUCCAUUAUUAAUGAUUAAAAAAUUAAGUUACUUUAGGGAUAACAGCGUAAUUUUUUUGGAGAGUUCAUAUUGAAAAAAAAGAUUGCGACCUCGAUGUUGGAUUAAGAUAUAAUUUUAGGUGUAGCCGCUUAAAUUUUAAGUCUGUUCGACUUU